CACCUGUUUAUCAAAAACAUAGCCUUUUGAUUAUAAUUUAAGGUUAUUUCUGCCCCAUGAAAAUUUUAAAUGGCCGCAGUAUGUUGACUGUGCUAAGGUAGCAUAAUCAAUUGUUUCUUAAUUAGAAACUUGGAUGAAAGAAAAAAUGAGAUUUAAGCUGUCUCAAUUUAAGAGUUAUAAAUUAUUUUUUAAGUAAAAAAACUUAAAUGAGAUUAUGGGACGAGAAGACCCUAUAGAAUUUUAUAUAAUUUUUAUUAUGAUUUUUUAUUUAAUUAAUAGUGAAGAUUAUAUUUAGUUGGGAGGACUGUUAAAUUAUUAUAACUUUAAUUAAAAAAAGUCAUUUAUUAAUGAGUGAAGGAAUGAUUAUAAUUUAUAAUUAAGGAAGAAUUAAUUACCUUAGGGAUAACAGCGUAAUAUUUUUAGAGAGAUCAUAUUGAUAAAAAUGAUUGCGACCUCGAUGUUGAAUUAAGAUAAAAAUUAGGUGCAGGAGCUUAAUAUUUAGGUCUGUUCGACCUUUAAAAUCUUACAUGAUUUGAGUUCAAAUCGACG
RNAcentral lists this ribosomal RNA (549 nucleotides) under Aphaenogaster spinosa. RNAcentral describes it as "partial 16S ribosomal RNA". It matches the Rfam family "Bacterial large subunit ribosomal RNA", at positions 1797 to 2621 of the family's 2925-position model. The record is from RNAcentral. Lineage: Eukaryota; Metazoa; Arthropoda; Insecta; Hymenoptera; Formicidae.